Molecule: ribosomal RNA, 440 nt
Filed under: uncultured bacterium
Lineage: Bacteria
Description: partial 16S ribosomal RNA
Rfam family: Bacterial small subunit ribosomal RNA
Source: RNAcentral
CCUACGGGUGGCAGCAGUGGGGAAUAUUGCACAAUGGGGGAAACCCUGAUGCAGCGACGCCGCGUGAGUGAAGAAGGAUUUCGGUAUGGAAAGCUCUAUCAGCAGGGAAGAAAAUGACGGUACCUGAUUAUGAAGCCCCGUCUAACUACGUGCCAGCAGCCGCGGUAAUACGUAGGGGGCCAGCGUUAUCCGGAUUUACUGGGUGUAAAGGGAGCGUAGACGGGAAAACAAGUCUGUAGUGAAAUGCUGGGGCUUAACCCCGGAACUGCUUUGGAAACUGUGCAGCUAGAGUGAAGGAGAGGUAAGUGGAAUGCGUGGUGUAGCGGUGAAAUGCGUAGAUAUUAGGAGGAACACCAGUGGCGAAGGCGGCUUACUGGACUGUAACUGACGUUGAGGCUCGAAAGCGUGGGGAGCAAACAGGAUUAGAUACCCGAGUAGUC